AUUGAACGCUGGCGGCAGGCCUAACACAUGCAAGUCGAGCGGUAGAGAGAAGCUUGCUUCUCUUGAGAGCGGCGGACGGGUGAGUAAUGCCUAGGAAUCUGCCUGGUAGUGGGGGAUAACGUUCGGAAACGGACGCUAAUACCGCACACGUCCUACGGGAGAAAGCAGGGGACCUUCGGGCCUUGCGCUAUCAGAUGAGCCUAGGUCGGAUUAGCUAGUUGGUGGGGUAAUGGCUCACCAAGGCGACGAUCCGUAACUGGUCUGAGAGGAUGAUCAGUCACACUGGAACUGAGACACGGUCCAGACUCCUACGGGAGGCAGCAGUGGGGAAUAAUGGACAAUGGGCGAAAGCCUGAUCCAGCCAUGCCGCGUGUGUGAAGAAGGUCUUCGGAUUGUAAAGCACUUUAAGUUGGGAGGAAGGGCAGUAAAUUAAUACUUUGCUGUUUUGACGUUACCGACAGAAUAAGCACCGGCUAACUCUGUGCCAGCCGCCGCGGUAA
This 500-nucleotide ribosomal RNA is filed under the name uncultured bacterium. RNAcentral describes it as "partial 16S ribosomal RNA". It matches the Rfam family "Bacterial small subunit ribosomal RNA", at positions 30 to 523 of the family's 1533-position model. The record is from RNAcentral.